This 477-nucleotide ribosomal RNA is filed under the name uncultured bacterium. Its description in RNAcentral is "partial 16S ribosomal RNA". It matches the Rfam family "Bacterial small subunit ribosomal RNA", at positions 28 to 507 of the family's 1533-position model. The record is from RNAcentral.
GAUUAACGCUGGCGGCGUGCAUAACACAUGCAAGUCGAACGAUGAAACUUUAAUGAACCCUUCGGGGAGAAUUAAAGCGGAUUAGUGGCGAACGGGUGAGUAACGCGUGAGUAACCUGCCUUACACAAGGGGAUAGCCUUUGGAAACGAAGAAUAAUACCCUAUAAAACCAUAAAAGCACAUGCAAUUAUGGUCAAAGUGAUAGUGGUGUAAGAUGGACUUGCGUCUGAUUAGCUAGUUGGUGAGAUAAAAGCCCACCAAGGCAACGAUCAGUAGCCGGCUUGAGAGAGUGUACGGCCACAUUGGGACUGAGACACGGCCCAGACUCCUACGGGAGGCAGCAGUGGGGAAUUUUGCACAAUGGGGGAAACCCUGAUGCAGCGACGCCGCGUGAUUUAGAAGGCCUUCGGGUUGUAAAAAUCUUUUGUAUAGGAAGAAAAUGACAGUACUAUACGAAUAAGGUCCGGCUAAUUACGUG